CACGUAGGGCGCAAGCGUUGUCCGGAAUUAUUGGGCGGAAAGAGCUCGUAGGUGGUUUGUCGCGUCUGCUGUGAAAACCGGAGGCUCAACCUCCGGCCUGCAGUGGGUACGGGCAGACUAGAGUGCGGUAGGGGAGAUUGGAAUUCCUGGUGUAGCGGUGGAAUGCGCAGAUAUCAGGAGGAACACCGAUGGCGAAGGCAGAUCUCUGGGCCGUAACUGACGCUGAGGAGCGAAAGCAUGGGGAGCGAACAGG
This 253-nucleotide ribosomal RNA is filed under the name uncultured bacterium. RNAcentral describes it as "partial 16S ribosomal RNA". It matches the Rfam family "Bacterial small subunit ribosomal RNA", at positions 524 to 776 of the family's 1533-position model. The record is from RNAcentral.